Molecule: ribosomal RNA, 279 nt
Filed under: uncultured bacterium
Lineage: Bacteria
Description: partial 16S ribosomal RNA
Rfam family: Bacterial small subunit ribosomal RNA
Source: RNAcentral
UGCCAGCAGCCGCGGUAAUACGGAGGGGACAAGCGUUAUUCGGAAUUAUUGGGCGUAAAGGGCGCGUAGGCGGCAAGUCAAGUCAGGGGUGAAAUCCCUCGGCUCAACCGAGGAACUGCCUCUGAAACUGUCUUGCUUGAGGCCGGGAGAGGGUAGUGGAAUUCCCAGUGUAGCGGUGAAAUGCGUAGAUAUUGGGAGGAACACCGGUGGCGAAGGCGGCUACCUGGACCGGUUCUGACGCUGAGGCGCGAAAGUGUGGGGAGCAAACAGGAUUAGAUA